This is a long non-coding RNA of Carya illinoinensis, 828 nucleotides long. RefSeq lists it as uncharacterized. Lineage: Eukaryota; Viridiplantae; Streptophyta; Magnoliopsida; Fagales; Juglandaceae. The transcript has 2 exons. The record is from RefSeq and is a predicted model, not a curated record.
AAUUCACUUUUUUCAAAAAGACUACACAACUCUUGCACAAUGCACAAUCACGACUGCAAAUAUCAUUUCUCAUGGUUAUAUAUGCAUAGACUCUCCCAAAUUCAGGAAAUGAAAAUUUUACAUAUCACUGAGAUGACAUACCCAUCAAUCUUUGAGUUUUUUCUUUUAAGAAAUAAAAGUAUUAUGCAAUAUACAUAUAUAAUUCGAAGAAAGUGUGAUGCAAAGACAGUAAUUCGUCGAGUGCCUUGAGUUUGAAGACAAGGAAAAAGUCACCGGCCCAAAUUUUGGGCCGCGUUAUAUCACGGAUGUGAAGCCCAAUAUUACAGCACAGAUUUAAGACUACUCGUCGGAUAAAAAAUAAGCCCAAUCUUCUCCUGAGACAGAAUGUCGCCGACUUAUCCACUAGGGUUUCUCUAAGAGCUAUAAAUACUCUCUAAGGCCCCGUCUCAGUACAAAUUGCACUCUGCUCAGCGUUAUUCUGACUACUCUAGGGCUCUGGAAGCAAGGAAGCGAACAAACAUAGCCACCCAAUCACCAUGAGAGCCAAGUGGAAGAAGAAGCGCAUGAGGAGGUUGAAGCGGAAACGCCGAAAGAUGAGGCAGCGAUCCAAGUAGUUCUAUUAUCAAUAAAUUGUCGUUUUCUGUGUAAUGGUUGGUGAUUAGAGAUUAGUAGUGUUCUCCGUUUUUUAUGUUUGUACUAAAGCUCUGAAAACUUUGGAAUUCUGUACUGCUUAAUGAGAUUUUGAUACUUUUAAACUAAGGUUAUAGUGAUGAGGAAUUCGAGUUGUAUCUCGUAACCUUAAUGGAUAAUUUGGAUAUUUCCGAUUUA